This 252-nucleotide ribosomal RNA is filed under the name uncultured prokaryote. Its description in RNAcentral is "partial 16S rRNA". It matches the Rfam family "Archaeal small subunit ribosomal RNA", at positions 475 to 726 of the family's 1478-position model. The record is from RNAcentral.
ACCGGCAGCUCAAGUGGUGGCCAUUUUUAUUGGGCCUAAAGCGUUCGUAGCCGGUUUGAUAAGUCUCUGGUGAAAUCCCGCAGCUUAACUGUGGGACUUGCUGGAGAUACUAUUAGACUUGAGGUCGGGAGAGGUUAGGGGUACUCCCAGGGUGGGGGUGAAGUCCUAUAAUCCUGGGAGGACCAACUGUGGCGAAGGCGCCUAACGGGAACGAACCUGUCGGUGGGUAACGAAAGUCAGGGGCGCAAACCG